This 336-nucleotide unclassified non-coding RNA is filed under the name plant metagenome. RNAcentral's name for it is "partial contains 5.8S ribosomal RNA, internal transcribed spacer 2, and large subunit ribosomal RNA". The stretch from base 1 to 105 matches the Rfam family "5.8S ribosomal RNA", at positions 50 to 154 of the family's 154-position model. The record is from RNAcentral.
GAAAUGCGAUACGCAAUGCGAAUUGCAGAAUUCCGCGAAUCAUCAGAUUCUUGAACGCAACUGGCGCUGAGAGGAUAUCCUUUCAGCAUGUCUGUUUCAGUGUCUGAAAACUUCCAAUACAUUCUAAUGUGUUUGACAAAGGAAUAUGAUUUAUUUCAUUGUUCUGUUAGUCUUACAUGAAAGAUGUAUGUGUGGGUCUUUGGAUCCAUCGAAUUGGUCACUGAUUCUUCGGUGAUUUCGAUUGGAUAUAACCAAUUACUCGUAUACACAUAGAAUAUAUUUAUAUCUUUAUCAUCUGCAUCUGAAAUCAGGCAAGAAAACCCGCUGAACUUAAGC